UGCGUAGGCGGUUUUGUGUGUCAGAUGUGAAAUCUUACUUUUCAUGAGUGAAAUUGCAUUUGAAACUGCAGAACUAGAGUACAGGAGAGGAGAGCGGAAUUCAUGGUGUAGCGGUGAAAUGCGUAGAUAUCAUGAGGAACAUCGGCGGCGAAGGCGGCUCUCUGGAAUGUUACUGACGCUGAGGCACGAAAGCGUGGGGGAGCGAACA
RNAcentral lists this ribosomal RNA (208 nucleotides) under uncultured bacterium. RNAcentral's name for it is "partial 16S ribosomal RNA". It matches the Rfam family "Bacterial small subunit ribosomal RNA", at positions 568 to 774 of the family's 1533-position model. The record is from RNAcentral.